RNAcentral lists this ribosomal RNA (195 nucleotides) under uncultured bacterium. RNAcentral's name for it is "partial 16S ribosomal RNA". It matches the Rfam family "Bacterial small subunit ribosomal RNA", at positions 333 to 525 of the family's 1533-position model. The record is from RNAcentral.
CCCUUCCUACGGGGGGCAGCAGUAAGGAAUAUUGGGCAAUGGGCGCGAGCCUGACCCAGCCAUGCCGCGUGCAGGAAGACGGCCCUAUGGGUUGUAAACUGCUUUUAUACGGGAAUAAUUGUGGGUAUGUAUAUCCACUUGCAAGUACUGUAUGAAUAAGCAUCGGCUAACUCCGUGCCAGCAGCCGCGGUAAUA